RNAcentral lists this ribosomal RNA (238 nucleotides) under uncultured Funneliformis. Its description in RNAcentral is "partial 18S ribosomal RNA". It matches the Rfam family "Eukaryotic small subunit ribosomal RNA", at positions 667 to 886 of the family's 1831-position model. Lineage: Eukaryota; Fungi; Glomeromycota; Glomeromycetes; Glomerales; Glomeraceae. The record is from RNAcentral.
GGAUCAAUAUUUCGGUCAUGCCGUUGGUAUGCACUGUUAUCAUUGAUUUCUCACCUUCUAAAGAACCGUAAUGCCAUUAAUUUGGUGUUACGGGGAAUUAGGACUGUUACCUUGAAAAUUAGAGUGUUUAAAGCAGGCUCACGCUUGAAUACAUUAGCAUGGAAUAAUGAAAUAGGACGGACUGAUUCUAUUUUGUUGGUUUCUAGGAUCGAUGUAAUGAUUAAUAGGGAUAGUUGGG